UGGGGAAUAUUGGACAAUGGGCGAAAGCCUGAUCCAGCCAUGCCGCGUGUGUGAAGAAGGUCUUCGGAUUGUAAAGCACUUUAAGUUGGGAGGAAGGGCAGUAAGCGAAUACCUUGCUGUUUUGACGUUACCGACAGAAUAAGCACCGGCUAACUCUGUGCCAGCAGCCGCGGUAAUACAGAGGGUGCAAGCGUUAAUCGGAAUUACUGGGCGUAAAGCGCGCGUAGGUGGUUCGUUAAGUUGAAUGUGAAAGCCCCGGGCUCAACCUGGGAACUGCAUCCAAAACUGGCGAGCUAGGGUAGGGCAGAGGGUAGUGGAAUUUCCUGUGUAGCGGUGGAAUGCGUAGAUAUAGGAAGGAACACCAGUGGCGAAGGCGACCACCUGGGCUCAUACUGACACUGAGGUGCGAAAACGUGGGGAGCAAACAGG
This 429-nucleotide ribosomal RNA is filed under the name Pseudomonadota bacterium. RNAcentral's name for it is "Proteobacteria bacterium partial 16S ribosomal RNA". It matches the Rfam family "Bacterial small subunit ribosomal RNA", at positions 355 to 776 of the family's 1533-position model. Lineage: Bacteria; Pseudomonadati; Pseudomonadota. The record is from RNAcentral.